GCACUCGUAGCUCAGUUGGAUAGAGUACAUGCCUUCUAAGCCUGUGGUCAGAAGUUCGAAUCUUCUCGAGUGCGCCA
Molecule: transfer RNA, 77 nt
Filed under: Mycoplasmataceae bacterium
Lineage: Bacteria; Bacillati; Mycoplasmatota; Mollicutes; Mycoplasmatales; Mycoplasmataceae
Description: tRNA-Arg
Rfam family: tRNA
About the family: Transfer RNA (tRNA) molecules are approximately 80 nucleotides in length.
Source: RNAcentral